RNAcentral lists this ribosomal RNA (377 nucleotides) under Gekko japonicus. Its description in RNAcentral is "partial 12S ribosomal RNA". It matches the Rfam family "Bacterial small subunit ribosomal RNA", at positions 843 to 1384 of the family's 1533-position model. The record is from RNAcentral. Lineage: Eukaryota; Metazoa; Chordata; Lepidosauria; Squamata; Gekkonidae.
CCCAGGCAGAACACCUACUACACUGCCCGCCAGAGAAUUACACGCCCCCCAGCGUAAAACUCAAAGGACUUGACGGUGUCCCAUAUCGACCUAGAGGAGCCUGUCCUAUAAUCGAUGAUCCACGAUACACCUCACCCCCCAUUGCACCCUCUCAACCUAUAUACCGCCGUCGCCAGCCUACCUUCUGAAAGCCAAACAACAGUAAGCACAAUAGCUCAUCACUAACACGUCAGGUCAAGGUGUAGUUAAUUGCGGGGCAGAGAUGGGCUACAUUUCCUAAUUUAGGAGACCAUAAGCAACAUGAAACAUCGGCCAAAAGACGGAUUUAGCAGUAAACUGGGCAAGAUCGCCCAAUUGAAGGCCGCCCUGGGACGCGU